This 497-nucleotide ribosomal RNA is filed under the name uncultured Glomeromycotina. RNAcentral's name for it is "partial small subunit ribosomal RNA". It matches the Rfam family "Eukaryotic small subunit ribosomal RNA", at positions 591 to 1092 of the family's 1831-position model. Lineage: Eukaryota; Fungi; Glomeromycota. The record is from RNAcentral.
CCAAUAGCGUAUAUUAAAGUUGUUGCAGUUAAAAAGCUCGUAGUUGAAUUUCGGGACCAGUAUGUUGGUCGUGCUUCGGUACGUACUGUCAUUACUGGUUUCUCCCUUCUGAAGAACCUUGAUGUCAUUAAUUUGGUGUCUUGGGGAAUCGGGACUGUUACUUUGAAAAAAUUAGAGGGUUUAAAGCAGGCAUACGCUUGAAUACAUUAGCAUGGAAUAAUGAAAUAGGACGUUUGAUUCUAUUUUGUUGGUUUCUAGGAUCGACGUAAUGAUUAAUAGGGAUAGUUGGGGGCAUUAGUAUUCAAUUGUCAGAGGUGAAAUUCUUGGAUUUAUUGAAGACUAACUACUGCGAAAGCAUUUGCCAAGGAUGUUUUCAUUAAUCAAGAACGAAAGUUAGGGGAUCGAAGACGAUCAGAUACCGUCGUAGUCUUAACCAUAAACUAUGCCGACUAGGGAUCGGAUGAUGUUAUUUUUAAUGACUCAUUCGGCGCCUUACG